UGCAUUCACUACUGUAAGUCACUCUGGAUAAGAGUGUCUGCUGAAACGACUAAAA
Salmo salar (Atlantic salmon) is the source of this 55-nucleotide non-coding RNA. Lineage: Eukaryota; Metazoa; Chordata; Actinopteri; Salmoniformes; Salmonidae. The record is from Rfam.